CGAAGAGUUUGAUCCUGGCUCAGGGUUAACGCUGGCGGUAUGUUUAAUACAUGCAAGUCGUGCGCAAUUUUUUAAAUUGAGCGGCGAACGGGUGAGUAACACGUUGGAACCUGCCCCGGACUCAGGGAUAACCUACCGAAAGGUUUGGUUAAUACCGGAUAGUCCCGCAAGGGUAAAGCUUUUGCGGUCCGGGAGGGGCCUGCGGCCUAUCAGUUUGUUGGUAAGGUAACGGCUUACCAAGGCUAUGACGGGUAGCUGGUCUGAGAGGAUGACCAGUCACAAUGGGACUGAGACACGGCCCAUACUCCUACGGGAGGCAGCAGUAAAGAAUCUUCCGCAAUGGGCGAAAGCCUGACGGAGCAAUACCGCGUGAGCGAAGAAGGCCGAAAGGUUGUAAAGCUCUUUUCUGAGAGAAGAAUUCUGACGGUACCUUAGGAAUAAGCACCGGCUAACUCCGUGCCAGCAGCCGCGGUAAUACGGAGGGUGCGAGCGUUAAUCGGAAUUACUGGGCGUAAAGCGUGC
Molecule: ribosomal RNA, 522 nt
Filed under: Candidatus Peregrinibacteria bacterium
Lineage: Bacteria; Candidatus Peregrinibacteriota
Description: bacterial SSU rRNA
Rfam family: Bacterial small subunit ribosomal RNA
Source: RNAcentral